AGUGAACGCUGGCGGUAGGCCUAACACAUGCAAGUCGAACGGCAGCACAGUAAGAGCUUGCUCUUACGGGUGGCGAGUGGCGGACGGGUGAGGAAUACAUCGGAAUCUACUUUUUCGUGGGGGAUAACGUAGGGAAACUUACGCUAAUACCGCAUACGACUUACGGGUGAAAGCAGGGGAUCUUCGGACCUUGCGCGAUUGAAUGAGCCGAUGUCGGAUUAGCUAGUUGGCGGGGUAAAGGCCCACCAAGGCGACGAUCCGUAGCUGGUCUGAGAGGAUGAUCAGCCACACUGGAACUGAGACACGGUCCAGACUCCUACGGGAGGCAGCAGUAGGGAAUAUUGGACAAUGGGCGCAAGCCUGAUCCAGCCAUACCGCGUGGGUGAAGAAGGCCUUCGGGUUGUAAAGCCCUUUUGUUGGGAAAGAAAAGCAGCAGGUUAAUACCCCGCUGUUCUGACGGUACCCAAAGAAUAAGCACCGGCUAACUUCGUG
This 492-nucleotide ribosomal RNA is filed under the name uncultured bacterium. Its description in RNAcentral is "partial 16S ribosomal RNA". It matches the Rfam family "Bacterial small subunit ribosomal RNA", at positions 29 to 507 of the family's 1533-position model. The record is from RNAcentral.